RNAcentral lists this transfer RNA (94 nucleotides) under Stereum hirsutum FP-91666 SS1. It matches the Rfam family "tRNA". Rfam says of the family: Transfer RNA (tRNA) molecules are approximately 80 nucleotides in length. Their secondary structure includes four short double-helical elements and three loops (D, anti-codon, and T loops). Further hydrogen bonds mediate the characteristic L-shaped molecular structure. tRNAs have two regions of fundamental functional importance: the anti-codon, which is responsible for specific mRNA codon recognition, and the 3' end, to which the tRNAs corresponding amino acid is attached (by aminoacyl-tRNA synthetases). tRNAs cope with the degeneracy of the genetic code in two manners: having more than one tRNA (with a specific anti-codon) for a particular amino acid; and 'wobble' base-pairing, i.e. permitting non-standard base-pairing at the 3rd anti-codon position. Lineage: Eukaryota; Fungi; Basidiomycota; Agaricomycetes; Russulales; Stereaceae. The record is from Rfam by way of RNAcentral.
ACCCCGAUAGCUCAGUCUGGAGAGCGAUGGGAUGAAGUGUUGCAAUCAUCCGGCAUCAUGUUCAUAUACGCUGGUUCAACUCCAGGUCGGGGAG